This 443-nucleotide ribosomal RNA is filed under the name uncultured marine bacterium. Its description in RNAcentral is "bacterial SSU rRNA". It matches the Rfam family "Bacterial small subunit ribosomal RNA", at positions 360 to 804 of the family's 1533-position model. The record is from RNAcentral.
AAUAUUCGACAAUGGCCGCAAGGAUGAUCCAACCAUCCAGCGUGCAGGAAGACGGCCCUACGGGUUGUAAACUGCUUUUAUCAGGGAAGAAACCUCUGGAUUUACCCCGGAGCUGACGGUACCUGAAGAAUAAGCACCGGCUAAAUCCGUGCCAGCAGCCGCGGUAAUACGGAGGGUGCAAGCGUUAUCCGGAAUUACUGGGUUUAAAGGGUGCGUAGGCGGCUUUUCAGUCAGGAGUGAAAGCCCCGGCUCAACCGUAAAAUUGCUUUUGAAACUCAUCGCUAGAAGUAGGACGAGGUCAGCGGAAUUGGCAUGUAGCGGGGGAAAUCAUAGAUAUGCCAUAAACACCAAUGGCGAAGGCAAUCUUUCUAGACCUACAUUGACGUGAGGCACGAAAAGCGUGGGGAGCGAAACAGGAUUGAUACCUGGUAGUCCACGCCCUA